This 337-nucleotide unclassified non-coding RNA is filed under the name soil metagenome. RNAcentral's name for it is "partial contains 5.8S ribosomal RNA, internal transcribed spacer 2, and large subunit ribosomal RNA". The stretch from base 1 to 120 matches the Rfam family "5.8S ribosomal RNA", at positions 35 to 154 of the family's 154-position model. The record is from RNAcentral.
GAUGAAGAACGUAGCGAAAUGCGAUAAGUAGUGUGAAUUGCAGAAUUCAGUGAAUCAUCGAAUCUUUGAACGCACAUUGCGCCCCUUGGUAUUCCAUGGGGCAUGCCUUUUCGAGCGUCAUUUGUACCUUCAAGCUCUGCUUGGUGUUGGGUGUUUGUCUCGCCUCUGCGUGUAGACUCGCCUCAAAACAAUUGGCAGCCGGCGUAUUGAUUUCGGAGCGCAGUACAUCUCGCGCUUUGCACUCAUAACGACGACGUCCAAAAGUACAUUUCUACACUCUUGACCUCGGAUCAGGUAGGGAUACCCGCUGAACUUAAGCAUAUCAAUAAGCGGAGGA